GAUUUAUUUAAAUGGCCGCAGUAUUUUAACUGUGCAAAGGUAGCAUAAUCAUUAGUCUUUUAAUUGGAGGCUUGUAUGAAUGGUUGGACAAAAUAUAUGUUGUUUCAUAUAAAUUUAUAGAAUUUUAUUUUUUAGUUAAAAAGCUAAAAUUUACUUAAAAGACGAGAAGACCCUAUAGAUCUUUAUAAUUAUUAAAUUUUAUUUAUUAAGAAUAUUUUAUAUUUAAUUUAGAAAAUUAUUUUAUUGGGGUGAUAGUAAAAUUUAGCUAACUUGUAUAUAAUUAAUUACAUUGGUUUAUGAUUAGUUGAUCCAAUAAUAUUGAUUAAUAAAUUAAGUUACCUUAGGGAUAACAGCGUAAUUUUUUUAGAGAGUUCAUAUCGAUAAAAAAGAUUGCGACCUCGAUGUUGGAUUAAGAUAUAGAUUUAGGUGUAGCUGUUUAAAUAUUAAGUCUGUUCGACUUUUUAAUUCUUACAUGAUCUGAGUUCAAACCGGA
Molecule: ribosomal RNA, 493 nt
Filed under: Moegistorhynchus sp. 1 GLT-2023a
Lineage: Eukaryota; Metazoa; Arthropoda; Insecta; Diptera; Nemestrinidae
Description: partial large subunit ribosomal RNA
Rfam family: Bacterial large subunit ribosomal RNA
Source: RNAcentral